RNAcentral lists this ribosomal RNA (420 nucleotides) under uncultured bacterium. RNAcentral's name for it is "bacterial SSU rRNA". It matches the Rfam family "Bacterial small subunit ribosomal RNA", at positions 356 to 774 of the family's 1533-position model. The record is from RNAcentral.
AAGGAAUAUUGGUCAAUGGACGCAAGUCUGAACCAGCCAUGCCGCGUGAAGGAUGAAGGUCCUCUGGAUUGUAAACUUCUUUUAUCUGGGACGAAAACGGGAUUUUUAUCUCAAUUGACGGUACCAGAGGAAUAAGCACCGGCUAACUCCGUGCCAGCAGCCGCGGUAAUACGGAGGGUGCGAGCGUUAUCCGGAUUUACUGGGUUUAAAGGGUGCGUAGGUGGGCUUAUAAGUCAGUGGUGAAAUCUCCGAGCUUAACUUGGAAACUGCCGUUGAUACUAUAGGUCUUGAAUUAUCUGGAGGUAAGCGGAAUAUGUCAUGUAGCGGUGAAAUGCUUAGAUAUGGCAUAGAACACCAAUUGCGAAGGCAGCUUACUACAUAUAAAUUGACGCUGAGGCACGAAAGUGUGGGGAUCAAACA